AUCCGCUCCCUUUAACUAGAAGCUGCGUCAUACACACGGAGCAUUUGGGAGACCACGAUGUCGUCUUCCUUCUGUCAGGAGGAUCCAAGUGAAGCUACAGGAGUAUGAUGAAGAGCAAGAAGGGCAGCCUGGAGAGAAAGAGGAGCCGGGUUGAGCCCACUACUCUCAUCCACGUACCACGAGGAAGAUGAGGGAGAGAAAUUAUCCUACCAUUAAAGAGACUGUGCAAAGAAUGUUGAGAACAUCACCACUCUACAGGAAUACACAGUCCAGUAAUGUGUGUCAGAAGUUCAGUAGUGAACGACAGGUAGUACUGACGCAUUUACGGAGAUGGGACAUGAGGGCCUUGUCUGCGUGCCCAAGAGAAGAUUCCACAGAGUUCAAGCUGAGCAGGCUGCAGCAGGUUUGGAGGAAUCCUCCUCUGAAGAGGAAACAUGGCGAGGUUCUUCUCC
Molecule: long non-coding RNA, 452 nt
Organism: Limanda limanda (common dab)
Lineage: Eukaryota; Metazoa; Chordata; Actinopteri; Pleuronectiformes; Pleuronectidae
Exons: 4
Source: RefSeq, a predicted model, not a curated record